This is a long non-coding RNA of Alligator mississippiensis (American alligator), 1118 nucleotides long. RefSeq lists it as uncharacterized. NCBI's taxonomy places the organism in Eukaryota, Metazoa, Chordata, Crocodylia, Alligatoridae. The transcript has 2 exons. The record is from RefSeq and is a predicted model, not a curated record.
AGUACCUUAUAUUAGAGGUAAUAAACUUAAUGUGCAGUAGCAAAGGUGCAUUAAUGAAUGUGUAGACAUGUUAUAGAUGAGAACCCAGCUACUCCAAACCUUAUUCCUGUUUGGUUUCCUUUGCUUUGUCCUAAGUUUUGCUUGCUCUUGAAAAAAUCUAGAAAGGAAGCAGGGAAAAAGACUUGUGGGUCAAGAAUGGAGAAAUAAGAUAUAAUAACAUUUAUUUUGGUUUAUUGGCUUAAAAUUAUCUUAGGUGCAUACGUCCUGAUUUUAUUUUCUUGAGGCUAUAUGGUAGGGGGAACUCCACUAUAGAGAUACUACAAUUUUCCAACAGUGUAGGUCAGAAGAGAAUUGUAUAUACAAAUAAUGAUAUUGGUCUCCAAUGGUGCAUAUCCUCUCAUGUGACCAAAGGGACUUGGCAAUGGGAGACUUGGGAAAAGGAACUGCUUUAUAAUUCCAAUGCAUAUUAACUAACAUAAUGGCUGAAUUAUGACCAGGUACUUGUGUUUAAAGUCAUGUCAGUUGUCUGUGAUUAAGCCUAGGGCUACUCUGGAGAUAACCAUAACCAGUUGACAAGUUUCUAAACACAAUGCUCUGUGUCCUGUCUGAAUGCUUAACUUCAUUUUAGUUACCAUGUGUUAAAACAGGAUGCAUUUUCCCUGGAGUAGGAAAUCUAUGGACUCUGGACAGGCAGUGGACUGCUGCAUUCAUAGGUCAGAGGCAAAAAUUCUCAGAAUAUACUGUCAUGAACUAUGACUCUCACAUGCUGGUGAUUGCUCCCAGUGGCUUUCAGCAGUCUGUGUCAGAACUGAAGGGGGGCUGGUAGUGCUUUAGUGAAGUUCAGCCCUUCUCUGGAUUCAGCUGUGGCCAUCUCAGCCAACAAUGACUUCUGUCAUCAACUCAGAAAGAAGCUGUUCUGAGGUCUCCUGGAUGACAUAUUUUGCUUGUUUGGCUAGCAUUUCAACUGGAAAGCAAGGCUGUGCUGCGGGUCCUAUUCUCCCAUGCUAAUAGGAAUGGGAAUGCAUUGUAGUAUAUUUCCUUAGAGAUAUGGCUGGAGGCUCUGCCCUCAUAAGCGAAUACAAGCUCUGACUCCUAAUAAAUUUAAUCUGUUGCCUGGA